Molecule: long non-coding RNA, 576 nt
Organism: Myotis lucifugus (little brown bat)
Lineage: Eukaryota; Metazoa; Chordata; Mammalia; Chiroptera; Vespertilionidae
Exons: 3
Source: RefSeq, a predicted model, not a curated record
GUCACCGCCGCCAGCGGCGGGCUGGGGGAGCGCGCUGCCGCCGGGACCGCGCCUGGGCCGUGGAGGGCGCGGGUGAGGGCCCAGGAAGGAGGCGGCGGCCCCUCAGCUGCUGAGCAGCUCCCGCGCUUCAGGUCCCGCGGCUCUGAGUAUUCGGACCCUCAGGGCCGAGCGCGAAGUGCCCAACUCGCUGCUCCGUGGAGCUGGCCGCGUUCUGAGAUCUACAGAAACACAAGAAAACUUUACAUGUAAAAAAAUGAUAGGAGACAGCAGUUGAGGAAUACCAAUUAAUUGACAGGGUCUCACCAUUACUGGCAGAACCAGUCACAUCACAAGUCACUACUUCAAUAUAAGGAUGACUGUGACAACAACCUAAUAGAACUACGAAAUCUGGAUAAAACCCACACUUCUUAGCUUUGAAUAUAAAGCCCUUUAUGAUCUGGUCCCUGCCUCUAUCUUAUCUCAUUCAUUCAUUCAUUCAUUCAUUCAUUCUCUGAAGGCUUAAUUGGCAGCCUCUAUGUGCCAGUGAUCAGGUCCCUGCCCUUAAAGAGCACACUGCAUAGUAGGGCAACACAUAAU